This 270-nucleotide unclassified non-coding RNA is filed under the name Hevea brasiliensis (rubber tree). Lineage: Eukaryota; Viridiplantae; Streptophyta; Magnoliopsida; Malpighiales; Euphorbiaceae. The record is from RNAcentral.
GUUUGGAUCUUCUCCCUAGGAUGCUUUGUGAGAGGUCGAAGUCGUUUCCCGACCUGAGUGGAUACCAAAACAUCGUACGUUAUCGGAAAACUCUUGAGCUGUUUCAGCGCAUCUACGCACCUCACGACCUCCGGUCCAUUGGAGGAAACUCCGUCACUGGCAGCGGCAUCAGCGGCUUUCUUCGCAGCCUCAAACAACUCCACAAGCUCUCUCUCCAUCGAUUCUCAGAUCUCUAAUGCCCCGAAUAUCCGCCAGAAUGAUCUGGUGCGG